This 255-nucleotide ribosomal RNA is filed under the name uncultured bacterium. RNAcentral's name for it is "partial 16S ribosomal RNA". It matches the Rfam family "Bacterial small subunit ribosomal RNA", at positions 99 to 353 of the family's 1533-position model. The record is from RNAcentral.
CGGACGGGUGCGUAACGCGUAUGCAACCUGUCUGACACAGGGGGAUAAUCCGAAGAAAUUUGGUCUAAUACCCCAUAAUACCGAUAUAGGCAUCUAUGUUGGUUGAAAGCUUUGGUGGUGUCAGAUGGGCAUGCGUUGUAUUAGCUAGUUGGUGAGGUAACGGCUCACCAAGGCGACGAUACAUAGGGGGACUGAGAGGUUAACCCCCCACACUGGUACUGAGACACGGACCAGACUCCUACGGGAGGCAGCAUG